AGUGCAGCCUGAAGAGCCAGGAGUACUCAGGUUUUCUUUCACAGGCAGGAGGGAUAUCUGUUCUACUCUGAAAAGUCUCCCUGCUAUGAUCCUGAGGAUCCAUCCAGUGUUCUGGAUGUAGCAUCAUAUCUGAAAUCAAGCAAUGUGCAAAGAUACAGAAACCAUUGUGCCAAUUAACUCCUGAAUCUUCUUAGGAAUCAAGACUGUCUUCUUAGUGCAGACGCUGGGGAGCUGAUAAGCAAAAAAAAAUCCGGUGGAAAGUCAAAGAAGAUGAUUUUGGAGAAGCGGCAUCACCUGCGGUAAGUGAGGAGCAAUGUUGGGG
Molecule: long non-coding RNA, 322 nt
Filed under: Parus major (Great Tit)
Lineage: Eukaryota; Metazoa; Chordata; Aves; Passeriformes; Paridae
Description: lncRNA (ENSPMJG00000010150.1)
Source: RNAcentral